CCAAGAAGAUGGAAUGAACAGGCUUUAACUACAGAACAGAACAAUUUCUUCUGUGCAGUGGUAACAGCUAACAGUGGAACUAUACCCAUGGAACACAGUCGUCAAAUUAAGUGCAUGUGCAAUUAAAAUUUUUGUUUUGGGCUGCAAGACGAUUUUUCCCGAAAUGACGAAAAUCGUCAUUUUCGUAUGCUUUAUUUCCCUCCUCAUAGCAUCUUACGACGAUUAUGACCGCCACGUUUUCGCCUCUGCACUCCAGACUUUUUUCUUUCCAGUCAUAUGACCAAAUGAUUGUUACUUUCCGAUUCCACACGUAUUCAUUUGUAUUGUUGUUUCGUGAAUGAAUUUGCUUACGCC
Long non-coding RNA from Octopus bimaculoides (California two-spot octopus), 354 nucleotides. NCBI's taxonomy places the organism in Eukaryota, Metazoa, Mollusca, Cephalopoda, Octopoda, Octopodidae. The record is from RefSeq and is a predicted model, not a curated record.